Molecule: long non-coding RNA, 1201 nt
Organism: Gymnodraco acuticeps
Lineage: Eukaryota; Metazoa; Chordata; Actinopteri; Perciformes; Bathydraconidae
Exons: 6
Source: RefSeq, a predicted model, not a curated record
CGAUGGUUGAGCCUGGAGAGGUGUUUGACUCGUACCCUGCAGCAGUAUGAACCACUGGCCAGCUACUUCAAGUAAUCAGAUGAGAAACAACCAAGGUUCAGGAGGCUGUUGGAAGCAUUCUCUAACCCAAUGACAGAGGUGUACCUGCUCUUCUAUCAAGCAACGUUGCCAGUCUUCUCCACCUUCAACCUCCUCCUCCAGAGAGAGAAGUCCUCCAUCUUCCUUCUACAUGAUGAGUUUCUCUCGAAGUUUCUGAAGCCCGCAGCACCGGGAAUUGCAUGAAAUCCUCUAUAAGGACCCAUCAAACCAAUUGCCAGGAGAAAAGCUGGUGAUCGGCUUCACUACUCGAGCUACACUCGACAGGCUCCUUGAUGCAGGAGACAUUACACGCAGCAAGUGCAGAGGUUCCAGCAGGCAGCAGUGGCGUUUCUGGUGAGGGCUGUGGAGUAUGCCAUGAAGAAACUCCACAUGAGAGAGCCCCAGAUAAAACAUGCCAUGUUUCUGGAUGUCCAGCAGAGGGUAGAGUGUGGAGUGGAAGACGCCUUGUACUUUGUCGACAGGUUUCCUGAACUUCUCCCAUACAACGGACCUGACGAGCGUGACAAACUGAGUGAGGAGUUUCUGGACUACCAGUCCAUGGACAUUGCCAUGCCGAAGACCCAGCCACGUUCGACAUUGAGAGCUUUUCGGGGAACUUGGCAUCAAUGAAGAAUAAGGUCAGGCUUCCUGCUGAACAUGAGGGAGUAGGGGCUGAACUUGGUGGUGGGGUUGCUGGACGUUCUGAACAGAAACAGCACGGGGUCCAGGAAGUCGUCCCAUUGGCUCUGCUUCUCCGCCACCAUCUGCUCCACGGCCUCCUUCAGCUGCGAGAAGCUGCCGUCGUGCAGAGGGUUGAGCUGAGGCGGAUCCAGAGGAGACACCGCCUGCACGAUGCUCCACCUGUCGCUCAGGCGCUCGCUCACCUGCACAGAUAAUCAUGUAUCAUAUAUCUAUAUAUACAUAUAUAUUUUAAACUUUGUUUUUAUUGUUUUUGUUACAAUAAUGAACAGACAAACAAUAAGAAAGCAGACAAUUGAAAGUAGAGACACAACAUACUGACAUACACCUGAACAUCAGCAGGAGAGGACUCUUUAAAGUAGAGACACUACAUACUGAUAUACACCUGAACAUCAGCAGGAGAGGACUCUUUAAAGUAGAGACA